This 253-nucleotide ribosomal RNA is filed under the name uncultured bacterium. Its description in RNAcentral is "partial 16S ribosomal RNA". It matches the Rfam family "Bacterial small subunit ribosomal RNA", at positions 524 to 776 of the family's 1533-position model. The record is from RNAcentral.
UACGUAGGUGGCAAGCGUUGUCCGGAUUUACUGGGCGUAAAGAGCGCGCAGGCGGUCGUUCAAGUCGCGUGUGAAAGCCCCCGGCUCAACUGGGGAGGGUCACGCGAUACUGAUCGACUCGAAGGCAGGAGAGGGUAGUGGAAUUCCCGGUGUAGUGGUGAAAUGCGUAGAUAUUGGGAGGAACACCAGUGGCGAAGGCGGCUCACUGGACCGGUUCUGACGCUGAGGCGCGAAAGCGUGGGGAGCAAACGGG